Molecule: ribosomal RNA, 413 nt
Filed under: Tambja abdere
Lineage: Eukaryota; Metazoa; Mollusca; Gastropoda; Nudibranchia; Polyceridae
Description: partial 16S ribosomal RNA
Rfam family: Bacterial large subunit ribosomal RNA
Source: RNAcentral
AGUCUUAAGAUAUUUAUUUAAGAUUAUACCUGCCCUGUGUAGAAUGAGUUAUAAAUGGCCGCGGUACUUUGACCGUGCUAAGGUAGCGCAAUCAAUUGGUUUUUAAUUGGAGCCAGGAAUGAAUGGAGUUACGGAGUUUUUCUGUCUCCUAGCUAAUUUAUCGAAAUUACUAUGUAGGUGAAAAAGCCUAUAGUUAGAAAAAGGACGAGAAGACCCUUAGAGUUUUUCUUUGAAGCAGUUUUGUUGGGGCAACAAAGGAACAAAUUUCCACAUAUCGAAUAUUUUAGAUGUGAAUAAACUACCUUAGGGAUAACAGCAUAAUUUUAUAGAAAAGUUUGUGACCUCGAUGUUGGACUGGGAAACUAUAAGGUUAGCCGCCUUUUAGGUAAGUUCUGUUCGAACUGUGGAUUCCC